AAUAUAUAACCUGUCCAUGUUUUUCAUGUAAAUUAAAUUUAUUACAAACAACAGCAUAUAAACGUUACUCCUUCGAGAAAGAGCAAGUGGGCUAGUGGUUCUCACCUCUGUUUGCCUUUUCACCAGAUCCGGGUUCGAGCCCGAUCCCUCUCAAAGAGAGACUUAUUAUUUGUAAUGAUGUCAAAAAAAAAAAAAACGUUACUCCUUCUGUUCAACUUUAUAAUAAAAAUUAUUAGAAAC
RNAcentral lists this long non-coding RNA (240 nucleotides) under Capsella rubella. RNAcentral's name for it is "long non-coding RNA (CRUB_LNC003127)". The record is from RNAcentral. Lineage: Eukaryota; Viridiplantae; Streptophyta; Magnoliopsida; Brassicales; Brassicaceae.